CCUUCUUCCUUUCUAUAGCCCUGUGGUGGAAGAUUUUAUUAAAAUCCUACGUGAAGUUGAUAAGGCGCUUGCUGAUGACUUGGAAAAAAGCUUCCCAAGUUUGAAGGAAGUUGCCUACUUGCUAAAAGGUGUACCCUGAGCAUUUGUGACUCCAAGGGAAACCAGGAACAUCAUGCUGCAGAAACCCUUUGGAGGAACGUGCCAACUGCUCCGUAACCAUGAGCUGGCUCUCCUUUGAUGGAGAGAUUAAUAGUUUCCAUAAUUAUAUCAUCCUGGUUGUUCUGGGCCCGGAGUUUACUUAGACUUGAAAGAAAUUGAAGUUAAUUGAAAAA
Molecule: small RNA, 332 nt
Filed under: Pongo abelii (Sumatran orangutan)
Lineage: Eukaryota; Metazoa; Chordata; Mammalia; Primates; Hominidae
Description: processed transcript
Source: RNAcentral